Ylistrum balloti is the source of this 66-nucleotide non-coding RNA. The record is from the annotation of a RefSeq genome assembly. Lineage: Eukaryota; Metazoa; Mollusca; Bivalvia; Pectinida; Pectinidae.
UGCUCCUUAGUGUAAAAAACAUUCCUGAUUUGCAUUCAGGGGAUGGGGGUAGCUCUCCAGGAGCAG